UACGUAGGGUGCGAGCGUUGUCCGGAAUUAUUGGGCGUAAAGGGCUCGUAGGCGGUUUGUCGCGUCGGGAGUGAAAUCCACUGGCUUAACUGGUGGCUUGCUUUCGAUACGGGCAGACUGGAGGUAUGCAGGGGAGAACGGAAUUCCUGGUGUAGCAGUGAAAUGCGUAGAUAUCAGGAGGAAUACCGAUGGCGAAGGCAGGUCUCUGGGCUGACACUGACGCUCAUGCACGAAAGCGUGGGGAGCAAACAGG
Molecule: ribosomal RNA, 253 nt
Filed under: uncultured bacterium
Lineage: Bacteria
Description: partial 16S ribosomal RNA
Rfam family: Bacterial small subunit ribosomal RNA
Source: RNAcentral